Molecule: ribosomal RNA, 481 nt
Filed under: uncultured bacterium
Lineage: Bacteria
Description: bacterial SSU rRNA
Rfam family: Bacterial small subunit ribosomal RNA
Source: RNAcentral
GAUGAACGCUGGCGGCGUGCCUAACACAUGCAAGUCGAACGAAGCGCCUGGCCCCGACUUCUUCGGAACGAGGAGCCUUGCGACUGAGUGGCGGACGGGUGAGUAACGCGUGGGCAACCUGCCUUGCACUGGGGGAUAACAGCCAGAAAUGGCUGCUAAUACCGCAUAAGACCGAAGCGCCGCAUGGCGCUGCGGCCAAAGCCCCGGCGGUGCAAGAUGGGCCCGCGUCUGAUUAGGUAGUUGGCGGGGUAACGGCCCACCAAGCCGACGAUCAGUAGCCGACCUGAGAGGGUGACCGGCCACAUUGGGACUGAGACACGGCCCAGACUCCUACGGGAGGCAGCAGUGGGGAAUAUUGCACAAUGGGGGAAACCCUGAUGCAGCGACGCCGCGUGAAGGAUGAAGUAUUUCGGUAUGUAAACUUCUAUCAGCAGGGAAGAAGAUGACGGUACCUGACUAAGAAGCCCCGGCUAACUACGUG